AUCAACACACAAGAUGUACAAGAUCUUCCCCUUAAGCUUCCAUCACUACGUUCUAGCGACUUUGACAUGCUUUUCCUGCUGGACAUGAAUCCAAAUGCGUCAGCAACCACAAGCUUAUACCGAGGGACAACACUCCCUUACAAUCCAAGCACGCACACUAGAUGUGAUUCUUUCUUCUUAAAAAGGAUGAUAGCUACGAUCAUGUCGUAGGCUAGAGCAAAAUUUAAGACAUCUUCUCCUUCUUUUUUUAAGUGACAUCUUCUCCUUUUUUUUUGAAGUAACAUCUUGUCCUUCUUGAUUCAAGACAAGACUUAUUCAACAAGACAAAAAUAAAUACGAACACAUUUGAGCCAAAUAUAUAUAAAUUUAUAUGUAGAUGUAUUAGUGAAGCGCGACGUGCCGCCGUACACAAACCUGCUAGUUACCUUCAAGCCUUCUUUGGCUAAUCACCACCACCGAGGGGAUUGGUUGGGAAUUUUACCCCGCCCACCCN
Molecule: long non-coding RNA, 493 nt
Filed under: Hordeum vulgare
Lineage: Eukaryota; Viridiplantae; Streptophyta; Magnoliopsida; Poales; Poaceae
Description: long non-coding RNA (HVUL_LNC019573)
Source: RNAcentral